GACGAACGCUGGCGGCGUGCUUAACACAUGCAAGUCGAACGGUAAGGCCCUUCGGGGUACACGAGUGGCGAACGGGUGAGUAACACGUGGGUGAUCUGCCCUGCACUUCGGGAUAAGCCUGGGAAACUGGGUCUAAUACCGGAUAGGACCACUGCCUGCAUGGGUGGUGGUGGAAAGCUUUUGCGGUGUGGGAUGGGCCCGCGGCCUAUCAGCUUGUUGGUGGGGUGAUGGCCUACCAAGGCGACGACGGGUAGCCGGCCUGAGAGGGUGACCGGCAACACUGGGACGGAGAUACGGCCGAGACUCCUCCGGGGGGCAGCAGUGGGGAAUAUUGCACAAUGGGCGCAAGCCUGAUGCAGCGACGCCGCGUGAGGGAUGACGGCCUUCGGGUUGUAAACCUCUUUCAGCACCGACGAAGCGCAAGUGACGGUAGGUGCAGAAGAAGGACCGGCCAACUACGUGCAGCCGCCGCAGUAA
RNAcentral lists this ribosomal RNA (477 nucleotides) under uncultured bacterium. RNAcentral describes it as "partial 16S ribosomal RNA". It matches the Rfam family "Bacterial small subunit ribosomal RNA", at positions 28 to 523 of the family's 1533-position model. The record is from RNAcentral.